RNAcentral lists this ribosomal RNA (253 nucleotides) under uncultured bacterium. RNAcentral describes it as "partial 16S ribosomal RNA". It matches the Rfam family "Bacterial small subunit ribosomal RNA", at positions 524 to 776 of the family's 1533-position model. The record is from RNAcentral.
UACGUAGGGUGCAAGCGUUAAUCGGAAUUACUGGGCGUAAAGCGUGCGCAGGCGGUUGUGCAAGACAGAGGUGAAAUCCCCGGGCUUAACCUGGGAACUGCCUUUGUGACUGCACGGCUAGAGUGUGUCAGAGGGGGGUAGAAUUCCGCGUGUAGCAGUGAAAUGCGUAGAGAUGCGGAGGAACACCGAUGGCGAAGGCAGCCCCCUGGGCUAACACUGACGCUCAGGCACGAAAGCGUGGGGAGCAAACAGG